This 433-nucleotide ribosomal RNA is filed under the name uncultured bacterium. RNAcentral's name for it is "partial 16S ribosomal RNA". It matches the Rfam family "Bacterial small subunit ribosomal RNA", at positions 29 to 507 of the family's 1533-position model. The record is from RNAcentral.
AACGAACGCUGGCGGCAUGCCUAACACAUGCAAGUCGAACGAGACCUUCGGGUCUAGUGGCGCACGGGUGCGUAACGCGUGGGAACCUGCCCUUAGGUUCGGAAUAACUCCCCGAAAGGGGUGCUAAUACCGGAUAAUGUCUUCGGACCAAAGAUUUAUCGCCUUUGGAUGGGCCCGCGUUGGAUUAGCUAGUUGGCAGGGUAAAAGCCUACCAAGGCGACGAUCCAUAGCUGGUCUGAGAGGAUGAUCAGCCACACUGGGACUGAGACACGGCCCAGACUCCUACGGGAGGCAGCAGUGGGGAAUAUUGGACAAUGGGCGAAAGCCUGAUCCAGCAAUGCCGCGUGAGUGAUGAAGGCCUUAGGGUUGUAAAGCUCUUUUACCUGGGAUGAUAAUGACAGUACCGGGAGAAUAAGCUCCGGCUAACUCCGUG